AUUCUACUCCCUCCGUUCCACAAUACAUGCCUUCUAUUUGUCAAAAUAUAGAUGUAUCUAGACAUGUUUUAGUAUCUAGGUACAUCGGUUUUUGGACAAAUGGAAGUCAAGUAUUUUGGAACGGAGGGAGUACACA
Non-coding RNA from Triticum aestivum (bread wheat), 136 nucleotides. The record is from Rfam. Lineage: Eukaryota; Viridiplantae; Streptophyta; Magnoliopsida; Poales; Poaceae.